RNAcentral lists this ribosomal RNA (231 nucleotides) under uncultured bacterium. Its description in RNAcentral is "partial 16S ribosomal RNA". It matches the Rfam family "Bacterial small subunit ribosomal RNA", at positions 103 to 334 of the family's 1533-position model. The record is from RNAcentral.
CGGGUGAGUAACGCGUGGGUAACCUGCCUCAUACAGGGGGAUAACAGUUAGAAAUGACUGCUGAUACCGCAUAAGACCACAGCACCGCAUGGUGCAGGGGUAAAAACUCCGGUGGUAUGAGAUGGACCCGCGUCUGAUUAGCUAGUUGGUGGGGUAACGGCCUACCAAGGCGACGAUCAGUAGCCGACCUGAGAGGGUGACCGGCCACAUUGGGACUGAGACACGGCCCAA